RNAcentral lists this ribosomal RNA (402 nucleotides) under Bacteroidota bacterium. RNAcentral describes it as "Bacteroidetes bacterium partial 16S ribosomal RNA". It matches the Rfam family "Bacterial small subunit ribosomal RNA", at positions 355 to 776 of the family's 1533-position model. The record is from RNAcentral. Lineage: Bacteria; Pseudomonadati; Bacteroidota.
UGGGGAAUUUUGCACAAUGGGGGAAACCCUGAUGCAGCGACGCCGCGUGAUUUAGAAGGCCUUCGGGUUGUAAAAAUCUUUUCUAUGGGAAGAAAAUGACAGUACCAUAGGAAUAAGGACCGGCUAAUUACGUGCCAGCAGCCGCGGUAAUACGUAAGGUCCGAGCGUUGUCCGGAAUCAUUGGGCGUGAAGGGUACGUAGGCGGGUAAGCAAGUUAGAAGUGAAAUCCUGUAGCUCAACUACAGUAAGCUUUUAAAACUGCUCAUCUUGAGAUAUGGAAGGGAAAGUGGAAUUCCUAGUGUAGCGGUGAAAUGCGCAGAUAUUAGGAGGACUACCGGUGGCGAAGGCGACUUUCUGGCCAUAAUCUGACGCUGAGGUACGAAAGCGUGGGUAGCAAACAGG